Didymosphaeria variabile is the source of this 89-nucleotide non-coding RNA. Lineage: Eukaryota; Fungi; Ascomycota; Dothideomycetes; Pleosporales; Didymosphaeriaceae. The record is from the annotation of a RefSeq genome assembly.
UCUUCCUUGGUCUAGUGGUCAUGAUUUCCGCUUGUCAUCGAACCCGGUUACGAGCGCGGGAGACCGGGGUUCGAUUCCCCGAGGGAGAG